AGUUCACAGCCUUGAAAACCGUGUCAAGCAGUUCUACUCUGCACACAGAGGGUCACCAUGAGUCGGAAUCAACUCAAUGGCAACGAACAACAGCAAGAACUAUUAAUAGUCAUGAUAAAUGUGAAGUGUUUUAACUACCCCGAAGUGUUCUUAUGAUAAGAACUCAAGAAGGUCUGGGCCUGGUGUUUUCCUCCCGUUUCCUGCUCUCUGCUGAAGCAGACGCUUGGACUUCUGCAGAGGAUACAGGAUAGGAAUUUCCCUGGUUAUCUUGCUUGCUGCCCAGAGAGGCAACUGUCAGGAAAUGGAGGCUGAGGAGAAUACAGACCUCCUGGUAGGGCCAGGGGCCCUGGGUAUUGGGAGGCCUGAACCAAGGGAGACUUCCUACUUGAAGCCUUGACAUUAAGCAUUUUGGGGUAGGAGAAAAGCCACGUUGAUUUUUUUCCUUAUUAUCAGUUCCAGAAAGAAAAAACAACCCUUUCAGAAGAGGGAAAAAGAGAGGAAACUUGGAGAAAACCAAAAGAGCCAAUUUCCCCCUUUUGCAAAUUCUUUACCCCACUUCUCAGGAAAAAACACAUUUCUGUAAAUGCUCUAUUUUGUGUGGUACUGAACAAAGUAGUCUCAAUUCCUGCCCUGUGAAGUCUUUUUAAAGAGAAACAGUUACAGCAAACAACUGGGAGGCCCUCUUCGGGCAGUGAAAGGCUGGUCCUGGAAGAUAAGGGUUCAGGAGCUGCGCUAGGUAGGGAAAGGCGUGUGAUCACGUGUCAACACAAGUGCCUGACCACAGAUGCUAGUUGAGUUGAGAUAAUGUGAAGUCUAAGAGGUUUAAAGGAUACACAGAGGGGGAAAAAUUAAUCUGAAACAUUUAGUAUAAAAAAAUUACAACAGAGGACAAAAGACAACCUGCUUAAAGAUGAGAGCAUCUUAAGCAGCUGAACUAAGCCUGGUUAUGUAAAAUACAUUUCACUUGGGUGAUAGGCAUUUGGAGGCUUCUACUAUCCCAGCUGGCACCCUUGUUAACAGAAUGCUUUCUAGUGGCUUGGGAACUAUGGUUUCUAGAGCUACUUCUUAGGUGCUAUUUUAUGCCCUACUUAUGUAUAUGAGAUCUAUACUUUAUGGAGAUCUGUAACUCCAACAGGAGUGAGUCAAAGUUCUUGAUAUUCCCCACUGGAAUCCUUACAGAAUCCUUAUGAAAUAAAUUUUGCCAAUAGCCUGGCUGGCUUCAUUUAUGGGUAGGUUUCCAAGUGAGGAAUAACGAGAAUAAGGACUUUGUGACCAGUCAUCAUCAGCCGUGCCAACAACUUGGUGUCGGUUUCUUCAUGCCAGGUGAGUGUCCUAACUAGUCUGUGACAUCAUCUCUCUGUAGGCAUCAGAUAAAGGUAAUAGAUAAGUCACCUGUUGGCAACCACAGAAUGUGAACAUUAGCAAGAGAAGAACAGUUACUCUCAUGCUUGGCGCUAGUUAUGAUUUGUCAGGUAUGUACUGGCAAAGGCUCCAGUGCUCGAUGAUUCUGGGUGAGAUGAGGAGCUGAAAGGCAGGUGGUUGUGGCCCAUGAUCACUCUGACAGCUGAGGCAGAGAGCUGCAGCUUCAAGUGGCCUGUGUCUCUUCACUAUCAGAAACUUAAGCAAUUAUUUAAAGGCCAGGCAUCUAUCUUGGUAGAGCUUCUCUGCUGUAAAGAAUUGUUUUUCUUUUUUAGGACCAAUAGGAAAGGAUCUCCAAACCCCACAACAUUAGGCAAAAUAUUAAUGAGAGACCAACUUUUAACAAAAUAUUUGCAUCUCUACCUUCUUUAGAAAAUGGAAGAGGAAGAAGAGUGCAAAAGGAAAAGAAGAAUGCAAAACUGAGUAAAACAUUCAGAAAUAUAUAGGAUCUGGUCUCAACCAAACCAGUAAGUAAAUAACCAAUUAGUCACUGAAUGUCUCCUAAUGUUUAAGACCUUGUAUUAGGAAUUUUGAAGGUAGUGAAUUAACAAUGUCUUUAGUGCUGACCAUCAACAAGUUACUGUGCCAGGUGCAAGAGAUAAAAAGAUAAAUGACGUCUCAUCCCUGUUCUCAAGGAGAGAUCAACUCAUGAACUGUUGAUAACAGUAGAACAAAUAUAAGCACAAGUGCAGUUAUUAGGGGCUCACGGUAUUUUGGCGGAAGGGUGUUACUUAAGUGUGUGUGGGUAGGGCAAGAAGAAGCUGACAGGAAUAUGAGAAAUUUAGAUACUUAAUGGAAAAGACUGAGGCCAGAACAAUGUUAAAAUUGAGCAGCAUUCCAGUCUGAUUUGCACAAUCGUUUUCCCUUCUAAACACCCAAUAGUGCUAAAUUGCAUAAAAAGAGUACAUCUAAAAUAUAUUGUUGGGUUCAAAAACAAGAUAAACAUCUCUGCAGACCAAAACCAACAGAAACACAGAGGCAAAGGGACGAGAGGCAGCAGUGGAGUCUGGAAUCCCUGCCCCCACCAGGUAGCAGGCAGGCUCUGGAGAGCACUGCUCUAGAAGACGGGCCAGAGCUGUGCUCAUUGCUGAGGGGUGAGCUCCCUCUCUUGAGAGAAACUAGGGGUCUGGAACUGCUGCUACUUGCUGCUUGGGACCAUGGCUCACCUCAAGCUGAAGCAAAAUGGAGGGCUCAAGGACACAGACACAGCCUUCCCACCAGCAGCUGGACCAAGCCACCUCCUGGCUCAGAUGCUGGUCUGGGAUAAAGAGUAAGUGGAGACUUAGACACUGGAAAGCAGGUGCUGGUAACCUGGCAGGGGCAAAGGAGACAGGAGAGCGCUCCCUUUGAGCUCCUUCAAAAGUAUCCUUUUUUGGCCAGUAUUCUUAAGGAAAGAUGUUGACAUAGUCAUGAAGACUGAGAGGCUAGGGGGAGCAGUAUGAAAGCAAGGCUGGGUGACUGUGGAGAAGUCAGUCCAAGGGAAGCUUCCACAAACAAUCAGCCCUGUCACCUCCACCCCUUGCCUGACCACACCCACAGACUAACUCCUCCUCUGGAAGAACCUCAAUAUGCCUCUUACAGGAAGACAUGGGAUUUGGGCCAGUAACUGUGCUUUACUGGCUUCCCAGGACACUGGCUAAUUAGAAACGUUCUAUCCUGUUGUUUCUAUAAAGCAACUCACCUUUUUUGGAUCAAAUAUCCUGAUUUUUUGCUUAGAAAAUGUAAUCUAAUAUGACCACAAACAGGACAGGGAAGAAACAGAGAAGUUUACCUUGAUAAGGAGUGGAUGAGGAGGCAAAGGGACGCCUGAAGGUUUUAGGUAUGCUCCGGACUCUCACUGUCUAAGGAGCCACCUCCCCAGGUCCUAAGGAGUUUGAAAGAAAAUGUGAGAAGGAUGAUAUCACUCAAACGGGACUGGAAGCUAACUCCAGUGAAUUCAUUGUGGUCCAGGGUUUGCCACUCAAUUUUGUAGACUCAAAAACUCAGUUCACCAUUUUGUAAGCUAUAAAAGGCAAUGAUUCCCUUAUUUCCAAGAUUUUAGUGAUGCAUCUUUUUGUUGCUCCAUAUACCAACCAAAUCGCCAUUCUGUACAUAAACUCACUACUCUGAUCGUAGCAAACUUUGAAACCAGUAUUAAAAAGUGGCUUCGUGCUCAGGAAGUAACCUCCCACCAGUCUCUAAUCAACUGUUCUUGUAAAUAAUAAAUUCAAUUUAAUAUCUACCUAAAAGCCUGACCCAAGCCAUGGUGUUUUCAGUUGCUUCAUAUGCAUAUGAAAGCUGGACAAUAAAUAAGACCAUAAGAAGAAUCAAUGCUUUUGAGUUAUGAUGU
Long non-coding RNA from Trichechus manatus latirostris (Florida manatee), 3748 nucleotides. RefSeq lists it as uncharacterized. NCBI's taxonomy places the organism in Eukaryota, Metazoa, Chordata, Mammalia, Sirenia, Trichechidae. The record is from RefSeq and is a predicted model, not a curated record. The transcript has 3 exons.